Molecule: ribosomal RNA, 460 nt
Filed under: uncultured bacterium
Lineage: Bacteria
Description: partial 16S ribosomal RNA
Rfam family: Bacterial small subunit ribosomal RNA
Source: RNAcentral
CCUACGGGAGGCAGCAGUGAGGAAUAUUGGUCAAUGGGCGCGAGCCUGAACCAGCCAAGUAGCGUGAAGGAUGACUGCCCUACGGGUUGUAAACUUCUUUUAUAAAGGAAUAAAGUGCGGCACGUGUGCCUUUUUGUAUGUACCUUAUGAAUAAGGAUCGGCUAACUCCGUGCCAGCAGCCGCGGUAAUACGGAGGAUCCGAGCGUUAUCCGGAUGUAUUGGGUUUAAAGGGAGCGUAGGUGGGUUGUUAAGUCAGUUGUGAAAGUUUGCGGCUCAACCGUAAAAUUGCAAUUGAUACUGGCAGCCUUGAGUACGGUUGAGGUAGGCGGAAUUCGUGGUGUAGCGGUGAAAUGCAUAGAGAUCACGCAGAACUCCGAUUGCGAAGGCAGCUUACUAAACUGCAACUGACAUUGAUGCACGAAAGUGUGGGUAGCAAACAGGAUUAGAUACCCCUGUAGUC